UACGUAGGGUGCAAGCAUUAAUCGGAUUUAUUGGGCGUAAAGGGCGCGUAGGCUGGAGGAAAAGUCAGAUGUGAAAUCCCGGGGCUCAACCUCGGAACUGCAUUUGAAACUUUCCAUCUAGAGGGUAGGCGGAGAAAAUGGAAUUCCACAAGUAGCGGUGAAAUGCGUAGAUAUGUGGAAGAACACCGGUGGCGAAGGCGAUUUUCUAGCUUACUCCUGACGCUGAAGCGCGAAAGCAAGGGGAUCAAACAGG
RNAcentral lists this ribosomal RNA (253 nucleotides) under uncultured bacterium. Its description in RNAcentral is "partial 16S ribosomal RNA". It matches the Rfam family "Bacterial small subunit ribosomal RNA", at positions 524 to 776 of the family's 1533-position model. The record is from RNAcentral.